Molecule: ribosomal RNA, 346 nt
Filed under: uncultured prokaryote
Description: bacterial SSU rRNA
Rfam family: Bacterial small subunit ribosomal RNA
Source: RNAcentral
UGGGGAAUAUUGGACAAUGGGGGCAACCCUGAUCCAGCAAUGCCGGGUGUGUGAAGAAGGCCUGCGGGUUGUAAAGCACUUUCAGUGGUGAAGAAAAGCUCGGGGUUAAUACCCCCGGGUCUUGACGUUAGCCACAGAAGAAGCACCGGCUAACUCCGUGCCAGCAGCCGCGGUAAUACGGAGGGUGCGAACGUUAAUCGGAAUUACUGGGCGUAAAGCGCGCGUAGGCGGUUCGGCAAGUGGGAUGUGAAAGCCCCGGGCUCAACCUGGGAACUGCAUUCCAAACUACCGAACUGGAGUAUGGUAGAGGGAGGUAGAAUUUCCUGUGUAGCGGUGGAAUGCGUAG